This is a long non-coding RNA of Diprion similis, 146 nucleotides long. RefSeq lists it as uncharacterized. The transcript is spliced from 4 exons. Lineage: Eukaryota; Metazoa; Arthropoda; Insecta; Hymenoptera; Diprionidae. The record is from RefSeq and is a predicted model, not a curated record.
UGCUUAGUUCAAGUGGAAUCAGAAUAUCCGAAAUAUCUACGAAAUUUUCAUAUAAGUAAUUAAUUUCAAUUUCCAAAGCAAACAAAUACCCAAGGAAUUUCAAAAGUAGCUCAUCGACACACGUGAAUAUUAGGACAUCAGCAUUA